UGAGGAAUAUUGGUCAAUGGGCGAGAGCCUGAACCAGCCAAGUAGCGUGCAGGAUGACGGCACUAUGGGUUGUAAACUGCUUUUAUGUGGGGAUAAAGUGCGUGACGUGUCAUGCAUUGCAGGUACCACAUGAAUAAGGACCGGCUAAUUCCGUGCCAGCAGCCGCGGUAAUACGGAAGGUCCGGGCGUUAUCCGGAUUUAUCGGGUUUAAAGGGAGCGUAGGCUGUCUAUUAAGCGUGUUGUGAAAUUUACCGGCUCAACCGGUGGCUUGCAGCGCGAACUGGUCGACUUGAGUAUGCAGGAAGUAGGCGGAAUUCAUGGUGUAGCGGUGAAAUGCUUAGAUAUCAUGACGAACUCCGAUUGCGCAGGCAGCUUACUGUAGCAUAACUGACGCUGAUGCUCGAAAGUGCGGGUAUCAAACAGG
RNAcentral lists this ribosomal RNA (424 nucleotides) under Verrucomicrobiota bacterium. RNAcentral's name for it is "Verrucomicrobia bacterium partial 16S ribosomal RNA". It matches the Rfam family "Bacterial small subunit ribosomal RNA", at positions 355 to 776 of the family's 1533-position model. Lineage: Bacteria; Pseudomonadati; Verrucomicrobiota. The record is from RNAcentral.